RNAcentral lists this ribosomal RNA (468 nucleotides) under uncultured bacterium. Its description in RNAcentral is "partial 16S ribosomal RNA". It matches the Rfam family "Bacterial small subunit ribosomal RNA", at positions 28 to 507 of the family's 1533-position model. The record is from RNAcentral.
GACGAACGCUGGCGGCGUGCUUAACACAUGCAAGUCGAACGGAAAGGCCCUGCUUUUGUGGGGUGCUCGAGUGGCGAACGGGUGAGUAACACGUGAGUAACCUGCCCUUGACUUUGGGAUAACUUCAGGAAACUGGGGCUAAUACCGGAUAGGAGCUCUUGCUGCAUGGUGGGGGUUGGAAAGUUUCGGCGGUUGGGGAUGGACUCGCGGCUUAUCAGCUUGUUGGUGGGGUAGUGGCUUACCAAGGCUUUGACGGGUAGCCGGCCUGAGAGGGUGACCGGCUACAUUGGGACUGAGAUACGGCCCAGACUACUACGGGAGGCAGCAGUGGAGAAGAUUGCACAAGGGGCGGAGGCCUGAUGCAGCAACGCCGCGUGCGGGAUGACGGCCUUCGGGUUGUAAACCGCUUUCGCCUGAGACGAAACGUGAGUGACGGUAAUGGGUAAAGAAGCACCGGCUAACUACGUG